CCCCCCCACCUGCUCCCUCUUCUCCAAGACUCACUCCAGCCGUGUCCACCAAGAGCUCAGCAGUAGGAUGAAGGUGGGUGGAAAGCAGGUGUGUGGGUGCUGGAAAGGAAACUUCGGCACAGGGACAUUGGAACAAAGCUCUCCUUCCCUGCACUGCCUGCCUUCGUUUACAACACGACUGGAAACCCUAAAUGUACUUGCUUACAGAUUCAAAAGGAAGACAAACUCUGGGAUUAGGUUACCUGGCCAGCUCUCCUUCCAGAGGAGGCUGACAAGCACAGGGGAUCUCCUGAAGUUGGAGACACAAGCUCUGGGAGCUGCUGUCCAGCAUGUGGAGUGUCCUGGAGAGAUGGGUCACAACCAGCUCCGGAGUCCUCUCCUCUCUCCUUGGUGA
This 394-nucleotide long non-coding RNA is filed under the name Manacus vitellinus (golden-collared manakin). Its description in RNAcentral is "lncRNA (ENSMVIG00005015823.1)". Lineage: Eukaryota; Metazoa; Chordata; Aves; Passeriformes; Pipridae. The record is from RNAcentral.